UAUCAAUAAGCGGAGGAAAAGAAACUAACAAGGAUUCCCCUAGUAACUGCGAGUGAAGCGGGAAGAGCUCAAAUUUAAAAUCUGGUAGUCUUUGGCUGCCCGAGUUGUAAUCUAGAGAAGCGUUAUCCGCGCUGGACCGUGUAUAAGUCUCCUGGAAUGGAGCGUCAUAGAGGGUGAGAAUCCCGUCUUUGACACGGACUACCAGGGCUUUGUGAUGCGCUCUCAAAGAGUCGAGUUGUUUGGGAAUGCAGCUCUAAAUGGGUGGUAAAUUCCAUCUAAAGCUAAAUAUUGGCGAGAGACCGAUAGCGAACAAGUACCGUGAGGGAAAGAUGAAAAGAACUUUGGAAAGAGAGUUAAACAGUACGUGAAAUUGUUGAAAGGGAAACGCUUGAAGUCAGUCACGUUGGCUAGGAAUCAGCCUUGCUUUUGCUUGGUGUAUUUCCUGGUUUUAACGGGUCAGCAUCAAUUUUGACCGGUGGAAAAAGGUCGAGGGAAUGUGGCAUCUUAGGAUGUGUUAUAGCCCUUGGUCGUAUACAUCGGUUGGGAUUGAGGAACUCAGCACGCCGAAAGGUCGGGUUUUCUAACCACGUUCGUGCUUAGGAUGCUGGCAUAAUGGCUUUAAUCGACCCGUCUUGAAACACGGACCAAGGAGUCUAACAUGCCUGCGAGUGUUUGGGUGGAAAACCCGAGCGCGUAAUGAAAGUGAAAGUUGAGAUCCCUGUCGUGGGGAGCAUCGACGCCCGGACCAGACCUUUUGUGACGGAUCCGCGGUAGAGCAUGUAUGUUGGGACCCGAAAGAUGGUGAACUAUGCCUGAAUAGGGUGAAGCCAGAGGAAACUCUGGUGGAGGCUCGUAGCGAUUCUGACGUGCAAAUCGAUCGUCAAAUUUGGGUAUAGGGGCGAAAGACU
This 908-nucleotide ribosomal RNA is filed under the name Lulesia popinalis. RNAcentral's name for it is "Clitocella popinalis partial large subunit ribosomal RNA". It matches the Rfam family "Eukaryotic large subunit ribosomal RNA", at positions 41 to 932 of the family's 3401-position model. Lineage: Eukaryota; Fungi; Basidiomycota; Agaricomycetes; Agaricales; Entolomataceae. The record is from RNAcentral.